This is a long non-coding RNA of Tribolium castaneum (red flour beetle), 613 nucleotides long. RefSeq lists it as uncharacterized. The record is from RefSeq and is a predicted model, not a curated record. NCBI's taxonomy places the organism in Eukaryota, Metazoa, Arthropoda, Insecta, Coleoptera, Tenebrionidae. The transcript is spliced from 2 exons.
AAUGUAGUCAAAUCGAUUAUUUUAAAUUAAAAUCUUUGUAACCAUCGAUUAGGGUAAAGUCUUUUGUCGAUUUGAUCAAUAAGCACACCUCUAAAAGAAGUGUUUAGUUCGGCGGCGGCGGCGCUUGCACCUUCCCGCAUUCCCGCCAAUUGUUCACACGCUUUCCGCAAGACAUAAUAGAAAAUUGUUUGUAAAGUUUUUGAUUGCUGUUGUUAGUGUGUUUUUACCAGCGGGUGACAAAAGAAAAUUUUUGUGUGCUUAACCUAACCUCAAAAUCAAAGUUACUACUAGUAGGGCCCCUUCAGCACACAACCAUUUUUUAAGGAAAAUUCCCGGAUUUUCAAGGGUAAACAGAAAAGCAGAAGAAAUUGUGAAAACACCCCCGUUUUUAAGGUUUAUUUUAAAAUUAACAUUUUCAAAGAUUUUACGUUUUUCUGUUGGGCUACUGUAACACACAUUGGAAUACGAUUCCGGCCAAACAAAUUCAAGUAUUUAAAAUUAAAAAUCAAAUAUUGUCACAGAUUGAACAAAUGAAUUAUAUUAGAAUUAACUAAAAUUGCAGUUAUCAAAAAGGAUUUGUGUUCUUGACAUAAAUAAACCUAUGAAUAAUUUA